UACAGAGGAGCCAAGCGUUGUCCGGAUUGACUGGGCGUAAAGCGCACGCAGGCGGUCGCGCGCGUGGGGUGUGAAAUCUGGCCGCUUAACGGCCAGGCGCCAUCCCAUACGGCGCGACUGGAGUGAUGCAGAGGUCGGUGGAAUUGCCGGUGUAGUGGUGAAAUGCGCAGAUAUCAGGAGGAACACCAAUAGCGAAGGCAGCUCGCUGGGACGUUACUGACACUGAGGCGCGAAAGCGUGGGGAGCGAACAGG
RNAcentral lists this ribosomal RNA (253 nucleotides) under uncultured bacterium. RNAcentral's name for it is "partial 16S ribosomal RNA". It matches the Rfam family "Bacterial small subunit ribosomal RNA", at positions 524 to 776 of the family's 1533-position model. The record is from RNAcentral.